CCCUGCUUAGCUCAGUUGGCGGAGCGCUCCACUGGAAAUGGACAGGUCCCGGGUUCGAUACCCGGACCAGAUG
This is a non-coding RNA of Ixodes scapularis (black-legged tick), 73 nucleotides long. The record is from Rfam. NCBI's taxonomy places the organism in Eukaryota, Metazoa, Arthropoda, Arachnida, Ixodida, Ixodidae.